UACGUAGGGUGCAAGCGUUGUCCGGAAUUAUUGGGCGUAAAGAGCUCGUAGGCGGUCUGUCGCGUCGGCUGUGAAAACUCGGGGCUCAACUCCGAGCUUGCAGUCGAUACGGGCAGGCUAGAGUGUGGUAGGGGAGACUGGAAUUCCUGGUGUAGCGGUGAAAUGCGCAGAUAUCAGGAGGAACACCGAUGGCGAAGGCAGGUCUCUGGGCCACUACUGACGCUGAGAAGCGAAAGCAUGGGGAGCGAACAGG
RNAcentral lists this ribosomal RNA (253 nucleotides) under uncultured bacterium. RNAcentral's name for it is "partial 16S ribosomal RNA". It matches the Rfam family "Bacterial small subunit ribosomal RNA", at positions 524 to 776 of the family's 1533-position model. The record is from RNAcentral.